This 72-nucleotide transfer RNA is filed under the name Symploca sp. SIO3C6. RNAcentral describes it as "tRNA-Phe". It matches the Rfam family "tRNA". From Rfam's summary of the family: Transfer RNA (tRNA) molecules are approximately 80 nucleotides in length. Their secondary structure includes four short double-helical elements and three loops (D, anti-codon, and T loops). The record is from RNAcentral. Lineage: Bacteria; Bacillati; Cyanobacteriota; Cyanophyceae; Coleofasciculales; Coleofasciculaceae.
AGCAAAAAAGCCAACUUGGAGAGUAGGGGACUGAAAAUCCCCGUGUCGGCGGUUCAAGUCCGCCUUCUGGUA